Molecule: non-coding RNA, 145 nt
Organism: Glycine max (soybean)
Lineage: Eukaryota; Viridiplantae; Streptophyta; Magnoliopsida; Fabales; Fabaceae
Source: Rfam
GUUGCUUCUAUAGUUCUAUUAUAGUGAGUUCCCCGUUUUAAGGUUGGGGCAUUCACUCUUGGAAGCAUAUAGUUGUGAAAUUGCCAGUUUUAAACAGCAUCAUGUUUAUUUCUCUGCAUUGUGUUACCUGUCUGCUGGUAAAUCC